Long non-coding RNA from Sander lucioperca (pikeperch), 138 nucleotides. RefSeq lists it as uncharacterized. The record is from RefSeq and is a predicted model, not a curated record. The transcript is spliced from 3 exons. Lineage: Eukaryota; Metazoa; Chordata; Actinopteri; Perciformes; Percidae.
AGAGGACCUGACCCACUGGUGUCUGGACAACAACCUACUCAUGAAUGUCGCCAAGACUAAAGAGAUGAUAGUGGACUUUGGGAAGAAGCAGGGAAGGAUCUACGCCCCCCCUUAAUAUCAACGGAGUCUAUAUAUUUA